Molecule: long non-coding RNA, 2383 nt
Organism: Cyprinus carpio carpio
Lineage: Eukaryota; Metazoa; Chordata; Actinopteri; Cypriniformes; Cyprinidae
Source: Ensembl
UUGUCACAAAGUGCCAUUUUUAAGUUCAAAAUGUAGAUCUGUGUGCAUGUAGGCUAAAUUAUCUGUAAUGAAAUACAUACACCUCUCACAUUUGCUUGUGUGCCAGCGAUUAACCCUGCUCCGUGUGCCAUUGCAACACUAACAUAUGCUUUUUAAUAUUUAUCUUUAUAUGUUGCAUAGAUACAGUUUUUGAGCCUGAUGGGAGGUAGCAACAUUGGAGACGCUGUGAGGAGAAUCCUUCGGAAAAUAGCUACCAAUGAGGCCUGGUCAAAUUACAGCCUGAAAGGCCGAAAAGGAAAACUGACCUUCAUUGGGACAGCGCUUCACCAUAUUGUUUUAAGUGCUUGUGCCAAACAAUUUCCGAAACACACAGAAAAGGAAAUUGAUACAUGUAUAGGGGAAACCCUCAAACAUGCACCUCACCGUGCCAAGGUGGUCGCGACACCUGUAAGUUGUUUUAUUCAAUGAGACCUCCCCUCUCUCUCUCUCUCUCUCUCUCUCUCUCUCUAUAUAUAUAUAUACAUAUUCUCUAGAAUAACAUAACUGUUUUGAUUUAUUUACUUAGUACUUAUAAACAAAGUGAAGUUAAAAGUAAUUAAAAAGUCGUUGAAGUGAUUGGUAAAUAUAAUGUUUGAUUUUUUCAGGCAGCGGAAGAAGAACUUCGGGCACCUCCUGGGGAUGGAGACAAUGACUGACACACACGCACACACGCACACACGCACGCACGCACGCACACACACACACACACACACACAGUAUAUAUUUAAUUUAAAUAAUUGUUUUUGUUACUUGUUGUUCAGCAUUUACUGAACAUAAAAUUAAUAUAAAUCGUUGUUCUUGUUGUUAUUACUGUUUCCUAAUAUUUGGAAAAAUCUGUUUUUGUUCACACAAAAUAAAUAAAUAAAUGACUGAUUUUAUCUUUGAGUGUGUUAAACGUGCAUGCUUAUUCCUGAUUAAGGUUCUGAAGUGUUUUUUGCAGUAACAUUCUAGUUUGGUUCCCUACAGGUCCUUGAGACCAGUGGGGAUGUUCUUAGAACGUUCUGGGAACAUCACAUUUCCAAAUAAAACAUGGUCCCCUAAACGUUCCGAUAACGUCCUGAAUGUUCUGUGAAGGUCCGCAAAAUAACGUCCCCCGACCCUUUAAAGAACUCCACAUCAUGACCGUCUCCGAACGUUCCCGGAACGUUACUAGGCGACGUCCUUGACACUAGUGGGGACGUUCUGAGAACGUCCUGGGAACGUAACAUUUCUAGCUGGGUAUUGACUGGGCCUUCAGACGAGCCUUCCUCUUCAUGAUUACGCGCUUUGUGAGGACAAGUGAACCGUUUGUGACCAAAAUCCCCGCACUCAAAGCACCGUAAAGUCUCCGUACUAGCAUACACCAUAUAUGAACCUUCUCCAUGAGAUACCCUGAAAGACACAUCGAGCGUUUUAGCGGGAGAGCUCAAAAACAUAUAAACAUGUCUUCUAAAAGAUAGCACAUGUUUAAGUGCAGCGUUCUUACAACCCAACGAAAUUUCUUUUACAGCACCGGCAAUUUUGCCGAAUCUAGUCAGCUCUUUAACGAUACUCUCAUUACCAACGAACGGGGGUACAUUAGAUAUGAUAAUUUUAGUUGCCGGUGCGGACAAUGGUGUAAUAGGCACGUACGUUUCAUUGAUCCAUAUUCCGCUUUCAAUCAAGGUUUUCACCUGAUUUUCAUUUUUUUUAAAAACGACUACUGCCUUAUUCAUUCUUGAAGCCGAGCUAAUAUUUUCAUGACCAACUUUGGCUCCGACGGCAAGGAGAACAUCCUCAAUAGCAGUGUUCGCCUCCGGUGUACACCUGAAACCAUUCCGGAGGGUGAGAGGCGACGCCACCCCCGCGGGGGUGGACGUCAUGUUGCCUCACACUCGCACCCCACACGAAAUAACAAUAAAACCUUCCCUAAAAAAAGUGUUUUGAAAGGUGAAAGAAAAUGGAAAAAAAUAAAAAUAAAUAAAUAAGAAAAAAAAACGAAAAAGCAAUUAUAUAGCUUAAAGGAAACUGAAAAAAGCCAGACGCUCUCACACACGUGUCUCUCACACACGCACUCGUUCCCAGCAUCCACUCCGAUAGAGAGAGAGAGAGAGAGAGAGAGAGAGAGAGAGAGAGAGAGAGAGAGAGAGAGAGAGAGAGAGAGAGAGAGAGAGAGAGUAUUACCUCUCUGAGUUUAUGUGUCUCUCAAAAUUGUUCGGCAGCAGCGUCUAUACUAACAGUGAAACUUUAAGUUAAUUUUCUUCAUAAACAGUGCUGUUACCUCGCUUGUGAGAAAUAUCAUGUAGCUUUUAAAAUAAAAUUGCCAGAGUAGCAAUAACAGCAUUAGCGUGUGUAUGUUUCUGUACUGUAAAUUAUGUAUGUGCGU